RNAcentral lists this ribosomal RNA (521 nucleotides) under uncultured bacterium. Its description in RNAcentral is "bacterial SSU rRNA". It matches the Rfam family "Bacterial small subunit ribosomal RNA", at positions 777 to 1297 of the family's 1533-position model. The record is from RNAcentral.
AAUAGAUACCCGGGUAGUCCACGCCGUAAACGAUGAGUGCUAAGUGUUAGAGGGUUUCCGCCCUUUAGUGCUGCAGCUAACGCAUUAAGCACUCCGCCUGGGGAGUACGGUCGCAAGACUGAAACUCAAAGGAAUUGACGGGGGCCCGCACAAGCGGUGGAGCAUGUGGUUUAAUUCGAAGCAACGCGAAGAACCUUACCAGGUCUUGACAUCCUCUGACAACUCUAGAGAUAGAGCGUUCCCCUUCGGGGACAGAGUGACAGGUGGUGCAUGGUUGUCGUCAGCUCGUGUCGUGAGAUGUUGGGUUAAGUCCCGCAACGAGCGCAACCCUUAAGUUUAGUUGCCAGCAUUCAGUUGGGCACUCUAAGGUGACUGCCGGUGACAAACCGGAGGAAGGUGGGGAUGACGUCAAAUCAUCAUGCCCCUUAUGACCUGGGCUACACACGUGCUACAAUGGAUGGUACAAAGAGCUGCGAACCCGCGAGGGUAAGCGAAUCUCAUAAAGCCAUUCUCAGUUCGGA